This 762-nucleotide ribosomal RNA is filed under the name Nothacrobeles spatulatus. RNAcentral's name for it is "eukaryotic LSU rRNA". The stretch from base 311 to 464 matches the Rfam family "5.8S ribosomal RNA". The record is from RNAcentral. Lineage: Eukaryota; Metazoa; Nematoda; Chromadorea; Rhabditida; Cephalobidae.
GGCUGGAUCAUUAUCGAGCAAAAUGAAAAACUUGUGGUACCUUCGUGGUGCCUUGUGGCAGGAUAAUACCCGGUACAUUUGCUUGAUGUACGUCUGGGUGCCACAGUGACCAACGGCUACGGUUGGUGUCUACCCUUCGCCGAGCGGAUGUUGCCUGUGACCGUGUCCGUGUUGAGGCGUUGGGGUUGCGCAUACGUCCCGGCCCGAAAGGGUACGGGGGUAGCGGAUGCGAAGACUCAAUGAGGCCCAAUCUGGGGCUCGCCAACCAAACCUCUUUUUCUAACGAUUUUUCUUAAAUCGAAGACAUUAUCAGUCCUAUCGGUGGAUCACUCGGUUCGUGGAUCGAUGAAGAACGCAGCAAACUGCGAUAAGUAGCGUGAAUUGCAGACGCUUUGAACGUUAAACUUUCGAACGCACAUUGCGCCGUAGGAGUCCUACCCUACGGCACAUCUGGUUGAGGGUCGUGAUCAAAAACAGCCAGCAAGUUGCUGUUAAUGUAACGAACUAGUGAAUCACAAGUUCGGCCAACCUGUACUCAGGUCGAAUGUGGUUUGCUAUCAUGUAAUAGAGGAUAGUGGCCUAGCCUUUCGGGGCUGGGACCCUACCUGCCACACGGAUGGGCCAACGACUGAGGCAUAGACCUCGGUUCUUGGGUAUCGUACUAGGUGUAAGCCUAAAAUACUCAGGGACGUCAGAGGUACAGUCGUUGGACCUAUACGUGCCUGGUGUAGUAGCGAAAAUCGCUUUCCCGACCUCAACUCA